This 1962-nucleotide ribosomal RNA is filed under the name human gut metagenome. Its description in RNAcentral is "bacterial LSU rRNA". It matches the Rfam family "Bacterial large subunit ribosomal RNA", at positions 1 to 1977 of the family's 2925-position model. The record is from RNAcentral.
GAAAGUAAAUAAGGGCGCAUGGCGGAUGCCUUGGCUCUCGGAGGCGAUGAAGGACGUGAUAAGCUGCGAUAAGCUUCGGGUAGGUGCAAAUGACCUUUGAUCCGAAGAUUUCCGAAUGGGACAACCCGGCAUUCUGAAGGAAUGUCAUCCAACUUUGUUGGAGGCUAACGCAGGGAACUGAAACAUCUUAGUACCUGCAGGAAAAGAAAAUAAAUAAUGAUUCCCCUAGUAGUGGCGAGCGAACGGGGAUUAGCCCAAACCACCCAUGUUACGGCAUGUGUGGGGUUGUAGGACCACGCUCUCGCAAGACAGUUAUUGAGAAGAAACGGCUGGAAAGUCGUGCCAUAGACGGUGAUAGCCCGGUAUUCUAAGGUAACCGAAGCGUAGUGGUAUCCUGAGUAGCGCGGAGCACGAGGAAUUCUGCGUGAAUCAGCCGGGACCAUCCGGUAAGGCUAAAUACUCCCGAGAGACCGAUAGCGAACCAGUACUGUGAAGGAAAGGUGAAAAGCACUUCGAAUAGAAGAGUGAAAUAGUCCCUGAAACCAUGCGCCUACAAGCGGUCGGAGCAGCGUAAGCUGUGACGGCGUGCCUUUUGCAUAAUGAACCUACGAGUUACUUUUUCCGGCAAGGUUAAGCAUCUUGAGAUGUGGAUCCGAAGCGAAAGCGAGUCUGAACAGGGCGGAUAGUCGGAAGGAGUAGACGCGAAACCAAGUGAUCUACCCUUGGGCAGGUUGAAGGUUAGGUAACACUAACUGGAGGACCGAACCGAUAAGCGUUGAAAAGCUUCCGGAUGACCUGAGGGUGGGGGUGAAAGGCUAAUCAAACUUGGAGAUAGCUCGUACUCCCCGAAAUGCAUUUAGGUGCAGCCUUGAGAGUUACUAAUGUGAGGUAGAGCGACUGAUAAGAUGCGAGGGCUUCACCGCCUAUCAAGUCUUGAUAAACUCCGAAUGCGCAUUAGUUCUAUCUCAGGAGUGAGGGCAUGGGUGCUAAGGUCCAUGUCCUAAAGGAGAAGAAUCCAGACCAUCAGCUAAGGUCCCCAAAUAAACACUAAGUUGAACUAACGAAGUCAGAUUGCUAAGACAGCUAGGAUGUUGGCUUGGAAGCAGCCAUUCAUUUAAAGAGUGCGUAACAGCUCACUAGUCGAGGAGUUUGGCGUGGAUAAUAAUCGGGCAUAAGUGUUUUACCGAAGCUAUGGGAUCCUAAUGGAUCGGUAGGGGAGCAUUCCACUCAGCGUUGAAGGCGAAGCGUGAGCUUUACUGGAGCGUGUGGAAAAGCAAAUGUAGGUAUAAGUAACGAUAAAGGGGGUGAGAAACCCCCUCGCCGAAAGACUAAGGUUUCCUGAUCAACGCUAAUCGGAUCAGGGUUAGUCGGGUCCUAAGGCUCAGCCGAACGGUGAGGCCGAUGGCAGAACAGGUUAAUAUUCCUGUACUACCUAUAAGAGUGAUGUGGAGACGGAGGAGUGACAACGCCGCGGACUGACGGAAUAGUCCGUUAAAGGGUGUAGAUGUUGAUUAUCCCAGGCAAAUCCGGGAUAAGAGUCGAACCUGACAGUAUACCAAUUUCCUCGGAAAACGGUAAUAGUGCGUGUAAACAUACUCCCAAGAAAAUCCGCUAAACUUAAUCUUACAGGUACCCGUACCGUAAACGGACACACGUAGUCGGGUUGAAUAUACUCAGGCGCUUGAGUGAAUCACGGUUAAGGAACUAGGCAAAUUGACCCUGUAACUUCGGGAUAAAGGGUCCCUACCCGGUGACGGGAGGGCGCAGAGAAUAGGUCCAGGCAACUGUUUAACAAAAACACAGGGCUGUGCAAAAUUGAAAGAUCACGUAUACAGCCUGACACCUGCCCGGUGCUGGAAGGUUAAGAGGAGAUGUCAUCGCAAGAGAAGCAUUGAAUUGAAGCCCCAGUAAACGGCGGCCGUAACUAUAACGGUCCUAAGGUAGCGAAAUUCCUUGUCGGGU